CAAUGAUUUCCACUUGGAAAAUAGUGUUUACCAGUGGUCUAGGCUGUAAAAUGGUGGGAAAACGGCCUCACAACAGGCGAUAAAAUGUCAAAAAAUUUGUGAAACAGUCUUUGGUGCUACAGACAGCAAGGACAAAUUUGAUAUGAAUAAUUCAUGUAAUUCGUUUCCAAAUUUCUACAGUUUCUGUAGAUUCUAGCAGUGAAUCUGUCGAUGAUACAGGUGAUUUUUUUUGCUGUCAAGCAGUUUUAUUUCAUGAAAGACAAUCAUUGUUGUUACAAUUAUUUACAAACUGACUUAUAUGGGGUAUACUGUAAAUGACUUAUUGUUACAAAAAACACAUUUUAGAGUGAUGUUUUUGUUCAUUUUAUGUAUCUUCAUUAUCACAUGAAAAAAACAACAUCCCAUAUGAAUUUCUUGAAGAAAAAGUAAAUAUUUUACAGAAUUUAUA
This is a long non-coding RNA of Anneissia japonica, 448 nucleotides long. RefSeq lists it as uncharacterized. The record is from RefSeq and is a predicted model, not a curated record. The transcript has 2 exons. Lineage: Eukaryota; Metazoa; Echinodermata; Crinoidea; Comatulida; Comatulidae.